UUUUUCAGUUGCACCUAAAAUUUACAUUAAAGACACAAAAAGAUUUUUAAAGAAAGGAUUUUCGGUCCUAAACUGUACGUUAACGCAGAAAUAUGUCCCACAAGAAGUAACCUUCAAAUGGUACAUUUGCCAAUCUGAUAUCUGUGAUGAAGAUAUGAACGAGAGAAAAUAUAUUUUACCCAACUAUUCUUUAACAGUAAAGAUAGAGGGCAGGUAUCGCUGUACUGCCAACAAUAGCGGUGGAAUAGAUACGUCAUCAAUAAUAUCAGUUGUCAAAGAAUCCAAACAAACAGAGAAGACCCGAAAAGCAACCCUGGAGCCAGUUACACGAAGCCUGGAUAGCGUUAUACCGGACACUUAACCUGCAAAGACGCCUCAGUGGCGCUAGAUCAAGGGCUGGGGCUUUCCCCUUCUUCAGUGGAACCAGCUCCGAAGCCACGACAAAAAAACAGUAAAAAACUCAACGUUGUUAUAAAAUGAUACCUAGCGCAAUAAUGGCGCGCUAAACGAAACAUACUUUUUUGCAUAGUUUGCAAGUGUUAGUUACAAAUGCAAUUAUGUGUAUGCUAACUAUACAACAAUCCACUUUAUUUUAGGAUUUGGAAGAUAAUGAAAAAAAUAAGAAAAUUAGAAAAGUCACUGAAAGUUUCGAAGAUGGAGGCAGAAAUUCGAUUUUUCAAUGGAAGUAAAGUGGAAAAGAUUCCAAUGACUUAAUUUACUUUACGUAGUAAAAAUUCCCAACACUAGAUUUAUCUACAAAACUAUCCUAACACUGCAAUAUAUAAGAGAUGGAAGUUUUAUGAAAAUUUUUUAAUAGCUUAUAAGCAUUAUCAUGCAAAAAUGAAAUUUAAAUAAUUGCGUGUGCGAUAGUUAAUUUAAUUUUAUGUUAUGAGCAACAAACCCAUAGAAGAUCUCAAUUUUACAUUGCACGUUCUAUCCUUUCCUUAAUCAAGUAGCAUUUGCAAAGCCAAUAACUCUCAAUGGCAAAAACUUUUUCCCUACCAAAAAUUUUAAUAAAUAUACAUAUUGUUGGUCA
This is a long non-coding RNA of Xenia sp. Carnegie-2017, 1036 nucleotides long. RefSeq lists it as uncharacterized. NCBI's taxonomy places the organism in Eukaryota, Metazoa, Cnidaria, Anthozoa, Malacalcyonacea, Xeniidae. The record is from RefSeq and is a predicted model, not a curated record. The transcript has 2 exons.